GAGUGGCGAACUGGUGAGUAACACGUGGGAAACCUGCCCAGAAGCGGGGGAUAACACCUGGAAACAGAUGCUAAUACCGCAUAACAACUUGGACCGCAUGGUCCGAGCUUGAAAGAUGGCUUCGGCUAUCACUUUUGGAUGGUCCCGCGGCGUAUUAGCUAGAUGGUGGGGUAACGGCUCACCAUGGCAAUGAUACGUAGCCGACCUGAGAGGGUAAUCGGCCACAUUGGGACUGAGACACGGCCCAAACUCCUACGGGAGGCAGCAGUAGGGAAUCUUCCACAAUGGACGAAAGUCCUGAUGGAGCAACGCCGCGUGAGUGAAGAAGGGUUUCGGCUCGUAAAACUCUGUUGUUAAAGAAGAACAUAUCUGAGAGUAACUGUUCAGGUAUUGACGGUAUUUAACCAGAAAGCCACGGCUAACUACGUGCCAGCAGCCGCGGUAAUACGUAGGUGGCAAGCGUUGUCCGGAUUUAUUGGGCGUAAAGCGAGCGCAGGCGGUUUUUUAAGUCUGAUGUGAAAGCCUUCGGCUCAACCGAAGAAGUGCAUCGGAAACUGGGAAACUUGAGUGCAGAAGAGGACAGUGGAACUCCAUGUGUAGCGGUGAAAUGCGUAGAUAUAUGGAAGAACACCAGUGGCGAAGGCGGCUGUCUGGUCUGUAACUGACGCUGAGGCUCGAAAGUAUGGGUAGCAAACAGGAUUAGAUACCCUGGUAGUCCAUACCGUAAACGAUGAAUGCUAAGUGUUGGAGGGUUUCCGCCCUUCAGUGCUGCAGCUAACGCAUUAAGCAUUCCGCCUGGGGAGUACGGCCGCAAGGCUGAAACUCAAAGGAAUUGACGGGGGCCCGCACAAGCGGUGGAGCAUGUGGUUUAAUUCGAAGCUACGCGAAGAACCUUACCAGGUCUUGACAUACUAUGCAAAUCUAAGAGAUUAGACGUUCCCUUCGGGGACAUGGAUACAGGUGGUGCAUGGUUGUCGUCAGCUCGUGUCGUGAGAUGUUGGGUUAAGUCCCGCAACGAGCGCAACCCUUAUUAUCAGUUGCCAGCAUUAAGUUGGGCACUCUGGUGAGACUGCCGGUGACAAACCGGAGGAAGGUGGGGAUGACGUCAAAUCAUCAUGCCCCUUAUGACCUGGGCUACACACGUGCUACAAUGGAUGGUACAACGAGUUGCGAACUCGCGAGAGUAAGCUAAUCUCUUAAAGCCAUUCUCAGUUCGGAUUGUAGGCUGCAACUCGCCUACAUGAAGUCGGAAUCGCUAGUAAUCGCGGAUCAGCAUGCCGCGGUGAAUACGUUCCCGGGCCUUGUACACACCGCCCGUCACACCAUGAGAGUUUGUAACACCCAAAGUCGGUGGGGUAACCUUUUAUAGAG
Molecule: ribosomal RNA, 1371 nt
Filed under: Levilactobacillus brevis
Lineage: Bacteria; Bacillati; Bacillota; Bacilli; Lactobacillales; Lactobacillaceae
Description: Lactobacillus brevis 16S ribosomal RNA
Rfam family: Bacterial small subunit ribosomal RNA
Source: RNAcentral